GUAGUAGGCCUAGACAAUGGAUAUCUAUAUGUUAUCCGUAGAAGUAACAUUGAGAAUAACGACGUCACCAUUAUACAUGAUUCUCAAUCAUGUGGUUCAGUCUCUCAUUUGAGUUCGGAUCGUGAUGAGACCUUAAUUCCCUGGCUUGAGCUAUCGCCCCAUUAGUGUCAUAGUGUCGGUACACUAGAGACACUUUCUGGUUAGAACCGAAUAGAGAGUUCAUAAAUGAACUUUCCCAUCCAAACAACAUUGUUGUAAGCUUCUAUAUGGCA
RNAcentral lists this long non-coding RNA (272 nucleotides) under Malus domestica (apple). RNAcentral describes it as "long non-coding RNA (MDOM_LNC010329)". Lineage: Eukaryota; Viridiplantae; Streptophyta; Magnoliopsida; Rosales; Rosaceae. The record is from RNAcentral.